GCGGCGGACGGGUGAGUAAUGCUUAGGAAUCUGCCUAUUAGUGGGGGACAACGUUCCGAAAGGRGCGCUAAUACCGCAUACGUCCUACGGGAGAAAGCAGGGGACCUUYGGGCCUUGCGCUAAUAGAUGAGCCUAAGUCGGAUUAGCUAGUUGGURGGGUAAAGGCCUACCAAGGCGACGAUCUGUAGCGGGUCUGAGAGGAUGAUCCGCCACACUGGGACUGAGACACGGCCCAGACUCCUACGGGAGGCAGCAGUGGGGAAUAUUGGACAAUGGGGGGAACCCUGAUCCAGCCAUGCCGCGUGUGUGAAGAAGGCCUUUUGGUUGUAAAGCACUUUAAGCGAGGAGGAGGCUACCUAGAUUAAUACUUUAGGAUAGUGGACGUUACUCGCAGAAUAAGCACCGGCUAACUCUGUGCCAGCAGCCGCGGUAAUACAGAGGGUGCGAGCGUUAAUCGGAUUUACUGGGCGUAAAGCGUGCGUAGGCGGCCAAUUAAGUCAAAUGUGAAAUCCCCGAGCUUAACUUGGGAAUUGCAUUCGAUACUGGUUGGCUAGAGUAUGGGAGAGGAUGGUAGAAUUCCAGGUGUAGCGGUGAAAUGCGUAGAGAUCUGGAGGAAUACCGAUGGCGAAGGCAGCCAUCUGGCCUAAUACUGACGCUGAGGUACGAAAGCAUGGGGAGCAAACAGGAUUAGAUACCCUGGUAGUCCAUGCCGUAAACGAUGUCUACUAGCCGUUGGGGCCCUUGAGGCUUUAGUGGCGCAGCUAACGCGAUAAGUAGACCGCCUGGGGAGUACGGUCGCAAGACUAAAACUCAAAUGAAUUGACGGGGGCCCGCACAAGCGGUGGAGCAUGUGGUUUAAUUCGAUGCAACGCGAAGAACCUUACCUGGCCUUGACAUAC
Molecule: ribosomal RNA, 899 nt
Filed under: Acinetobacter sp.
Lineage: Bacteria; Pseudomonadati; Pseudomonadota; Gammaproteobacteria; Moraxellales; Moraxellaceae
Description: bacterial SSU rRNA
Source: RNAcentral